UCUUUAGGGRAAAUUUAAGAUCGGACCUGCCCACUGAARUUUUAGUGAAGGGCCGCGGUAUUUUGACCGUGCUAAGGUAGCAUAAUCAUUAGUCUUUUAAUUGGGGGCUGGAAUGAAUGGUUUGACGAAAUAAAAACUGUCURUUGUUAAAAUAUUGAAUUUUAUUUUUAAGUUAAAAAGCUUAAAUGAUUGUUAGGGACGAGAAGACCCUAUAGAUCUUUAUAAGUUUAAGUUGAGUUUAAAUGUGGGAAAAGGGUAUAAUUUAAUUUAAAUUUAUUGUGUUGGGGUGACAUAAGAAGAGAUAAACUUUUUAUUAAUUUGACUAAAAUUGUGGGAAAAGUGAUCUUGAAUUUUAAAAAGGAAGAUUMAGAUACCUUAGGGAUAACAGCGUAAUUUAAUUGGAGAGUUCUUAUUGAUAAUUAAGAUUGCGACCUCGAUGUUGGAUUAAGAAAAUUAUUUAAUGCAGAAGUUAAAUGAAUAAGUCUGUUC
Molecule: ribosomal RNA, 489 nt
Filed under: Hygronemobius amoenus
Lineage: Eukaryota; Metazoa; Arthropoda; Insecta; Orthoptera; Trigonidiidae
Description: partial 16S ribosomal RNA
Rfam family: Archaeal large subunit ribosomal RNA
Source: RNAcentral